Molecule: ribosomal RNA, 396 nt
Filed under: uncultured bacterium
Lineage: Bacteria
Description: bacterial SSU rRNA
Rfam family: Bacterial small subunit ribosomal RNA
Source: RNAcentral
AUUGAACGCUGGCGGCAUGCCUUACACAUGCAAGUCGAACGGCAGCACGGGAGCAAUCCUGGUGGCGAGUGGCGAACGGGUGAGUAAUAUAUCGGAACGUGCCCAGUCGUGGGGAUAACGUAGCGAAAGCUACGCUAAUACCGCAUACGAUCUAUGGAUGAAAGCGGGGGAUCGCAAGACCUCGCGCGAUUGGAGCGGCCGAUAUCAGAUUAGGUAGUUGGUGAGGUAAAGGCUCGCCAAGCCGACGAUCUGUAGCUGGUCUGAGAGGACGACCAGCCACACUGGGACUGAGACACGGCCCAGACUCCCUACGGGAGGCAGCAGUGGGGAAUUUUGGACAAUGGGCGCAAGCCUGAUCCAGCAAUGCCGCGUGCAGGAUGAAGGCCUGGUUGUAAC